RNAcentral lists this ribosomal RNA (253 nucleotides) under uncultured bacterium. RNAcentral's name for it is "partial 16S ribosomal RNA". It matches the Rfam family "Bacterial small subunit ribosomal RNA", at positions 524 to 776 of the family's 1533-position model. The record is from RNAcentral.
UACGAAGGGGGCUAGCGUUGCUCGGAAUCACUGGGCGUAAAGCGCACGUAGGCGGCUUGUUAAGUCAGGGGUGAAAUCCUGGAGCUCAACUCCAGAACUGCCUUUGAUACUGGCGAGCUUGAGUUCGGGAGAGGUGAGUGGAAUUGCGAGUGUAGAGGUGAAAUUCGUAGAUAUUCGCAAGAACACCAGUGGCGAAGGCGGCUCACUGGCCCGGAACUGACGCUGAGACGCGAAAGCGUGGGGAGCAAACAGG